Long non-coding RNA from Ictalurus punctatus (channel catfish), 394 nucleotides. The record is from Ensembl. Lineage: Eukaryota; Metazoa; Chordata; Actinopteri; Siluriformes; Ictaluridae.
CAAACACGUGUUCAAGCAGGUAAAAAGAGCAUUCUAAAAACCUCCAUUGUCUCACAAGUCAAACGCAGCCACGCAGCAUACAACAAGCAAGUUCUUUCAUCAGCACGAGAACCAAUUCCUUGUCAUCAUGACCCCUGUAACUGCUCCAGCUGAUACCCAAAUCUCCCGACGCACAGCUUUUCUAAAAGGCAAGCCCAAAGCACUGGGGACUGUGCAGAUCAUGAUCGGAAUCAUGACUCUCUUGUUCGGUAUCGUUUUAACCUCGCUUACUGUUACACCUGCAAUCAUCAGUGGUAUCACUGUGUGGGGAUCACUUAUCGUACGUUAUUUUUGGUCUGCAUUUACAGCACCUUACUUUCCACAUUACAAUUCGGAAGUAAUUUAACUUAACUCA